CCCUGGAAACGGGGUCUAAUACCGGAUACUGAUCAUCUUGGGCAUCCUUGGUGAUCGAAAGCUCCGGCGGUGCAGGAUGAGCCCGCGGCCUAUCAGCUUGUUGGUGAGGUAAUGGCUCACCAAGGCGACGACGGGUAGCCGGCCUGAGAGGGCGACCGGCCACACUGGGACUGAGACACGGCCCAGACUCCUACGGGAGGCAGCAGUGGGGAAUAUUGCACAAUGGGCGAAAGCCUGAUGCAGCGACGCCGCGUGAGGGAUGACGGCCUUCGGGUUGUAAACCUCUUUCAGCAGGGAAGAAGCGAAAGUGACGGUACCUGCAGAAGAAGCGCCGGCUAACUACGUGCCAGCAGCCGCGGUAAUACGUAGGGCGCGAGCGUUGUCCGGAAUUAUUGGGCGUAAAGAGCUCGUAGGCGGCUUGUCGCGUCGGUUGUGAAAGCCCGGGGCUUAACCCCGGGUCUGCAGUCGAUACGGGCAGGCUAGAGUUCGGUAGGGGAGAUCGGAAUUCCUGGUGUAGCGGUGAAAUGCGCAGAUAUCAGGAGGAACACCGGUGGCGAAGGCGGAUCUCUGGGCCGAUACUGACGCUGAGGAGCGAAAGCGUGGGGAGCGAACAGGAUUAGAUACCCUGGUAGUCCACGCCGUAAACGGUGGGCACUAGGUGUGGGCGACAUUCCACGUCGUCCGUGCCGCAGCUAACGCAUUAAGUGCCCCGCCUGGGGAGUACGGCCGCAAGGCUAAAACUCAAAGGAAU
This 751-nucleotide ribosomal RNA is filed under the name Streptomyces pseudogriseolus. RNAcentral's name for it is "bacterial SSU rRNA". It matches the Rfam family "Bacterial small subunit ribosomal RNA", at positions 148 to 910 of the family's 1533-position model. The record is from RNAcentral. Lineage: Bacteria; Bacillati; Actinomycetota; Actinomycetes; Kitasatosporales; Streptomycetaceae.